Long non-coding RNA from Notothenia coriiceps (black rockcod), 129 nucleotides. RefSeq lists it as uncharacterized. The record is from RefSeq and is a predicted model, not a curated record. The transcript is spliced from 3 exons. NCBI's taxonomy places the organism in Eukaryota, Metazoa, Chordata, Actinopteri, Perciformes, Nototheniidae.
UGUGUUUCCAGCUGUAACACCCAGUGAACACUACAACAAAAAUAAGUAAUAAAAAGUAACUUAAAGUGCAUAAAGUCGACACUAAAACACGGAAAUUGCUUCUGGCUGAAGAGCCGCCUACCUCUCCCA